RNAcentral lists this small RNA (322 nucleotides) under Histoplasma capsulatum. Its description in RNAcentral is "hypothetical RNA". Lineage: Eukaryota; Fungi; Ascomycota; Eurotiomycetes; Onygenales; Ajellomycetaceae. RNAcentral also lists the same sequence under 1 other name. The record is from RNAcentral.
GCAGUAAGGGAUUUUGGCAGGCGAAAACGAUCGCACCCGGGUCGAACAGAUCGACGGGGCGACAUAUCAGGUUGAUUGUAAAUUGUCCCGCCAAGGGAUGGCUACAUCGCCGAAUUUCUGAACUAAUGUCGCGACUGAUAUUUCCUUGGGAGUUCGACAUUGUCACUUCCUACGAAAAAAUUUUUAUACCUAGUAGUUUUACGCCUAUGUAUUCAGUGGUUAAUAUAGUUUAUUUUGCGCGCACUAUGUAAGGAGCAUAUAUGGAAAUAAAUAAUUCCAUCAAGGGGUCAUUAUUAGCAGCACACAGCGGUGGAUUGCGGGG